RNAcentral lists this ribosomal RNA (582 nucleotides) under uncultured bacterium. Its description in RNAcentral is "bacterial SSU rRNA". It matches the Rfam family "Bacterial small subunit ribosomal RNA", at positions 338 to 916 of the family's 1533-position model. The record is from RNAcentral.
CCUACGGGAGCAGCAGUGGGGAAUUUUGGACAAUGGGCGCAAGCCUGAUCCAGCAAUGCCGCGUGAGUGAAGAAGGCCUUCGGGUUGUAAAGCUCUUUUGUCAGGGAAGAAACGGCUGAGGCGAAUACCUUUGGCUAAUGACGGUACCUGAAGAAUAAGCACCGGCUAACUACGUGCCAGCAGCCGCGGUAAUACGUAGGGUGCAAGCGUUAAUCGGAAUUACUGGGCGUAAAGCGUGCGCAGGCGGUUUUGUAAGUCUGACGUGAAAUCCCCGGGCUCAACCUGGGAAUUGCGUUGGAGACUGCAAGGCUGGAGUCUGGCAGAGGGGGGUAGAAUUCCACGUGUAGCAGUGAAAUGCGUAGAGAUGUGGAGGAACACCGAUGGCGAAGGCAGCCCCCUGGGUCAAGACUGACGCUCAUGCACGAAAGCGUGGGGAGCAAACAGGAUUAGAUACCCUGGUAGUCCACGCCCUAAACGAUGUCUACUAGUUGUCGGGUCUUAAUUGACUUGGUAACGCAGCUAACGCGUGAAGUAGACCGCCUGGGGAUACGGUCGCAAGNUUAAAACUUAAGGAAUUGACGG